RNAcentral lists this ribosomal RNA (491 nucleotides) under uncultured bacterium. RNAcentral describes it as "partial 16S ribosomal RNA". It matches the Rfam family "Bacterial small subunit ribosomal RNA", at positions 29 to 507 of the family's 1533-position model. The record is from RNAcentral.
GUGAACGCUGGCGGUAGGCCUAACACAUGCAAGUCGAACGGCAGCACAGUAAGAGCUUGCUCUUACGGGUGGCGAGUGGCGGACGGGUGAGGAAUACAUCGGAAUCUACUUUUUCGUGGGGGAUAACGUAGGGAAACUUACUCUAAUACCGCAUACGACCUACGGGUGAAAGCAGGGGAUCUUCGGACCUUGCGCGAUUGAAUGAGCCGAUGUCGGAUUAGCUAGUUGGCGGGGUAAAGGCCCACCAAGGCGACGAUCCGUAGCUGGUCUGAGAGGAUGAUCAGCCACACUGGAACUGAGACACGGUCCAGACUCCUACGGGAGGCAGCAGUGGGGAAUAUUGGACAAUGGGCGCAAGCCUGAUCCAGCCAUACCGCGUGGGUGAAGAAGGCCUUCGGGUUGUAAAGCCCUUUUGUUGGGAAAGAAAAGCAGCAGGUUAAUACCCCGCUGUUCUGACGGUACCCAAAGAAUAAGCACCGGCUAACUUCGUG